GAUGAACGCUGGCGGCGUGCCUAAUACAUGCAAGUCGAGCGAACAGACGAGGAGCUUGCUCCUCUGACGUUAGCGGCGGACGGGUGAGUAACACGUGGAUAACCUACCUAUAAGACUGGGAUAACUUCGGGAAACCGGAGCUAAUACCGGAUAAUAUAUUGAACCGCAUGGUUCAAUAGUGAAAGACGGUUUUGCUGUCACUUAUAGAUGGAUCCGCGCCGCAUUAGCUAGUUGGUAAGGUAACGGCUUACCAAGGCAACGAUGCGUAGCCGACCUGAGAGGGUGAUCGGCCACACGGGAACUGAGACACGGUCCAGACUCCUACGGGAGGCAGCAGUAGGGAAUCUUCCGCAAUGGGCGAAAGCCUGACGUAGCACCGCCGCGUGAGUCAUGAAGGUCUUCUGAUCGUUAAACUCUGUUAUUAGGGAAGAACAAAUGUGUAAGUAACUAUGCACGUCUUGACGGUACCUAAUCAGAAAGCCACGGCUAACUACGUG
This 497-nucleotide ribosomal RNA is filed under the name uncultured bacterium. Its description in RNAcentral is "partial 16S ribosomal RNA". It matches the Rfam family "Bacterial small subunit ribosomal RNA", at positions 28 to 507 of the family's 1533-position model. The record is from RNAcentral.